Molecule: ribosomal RNA, 497 nt
Filed under: uncultured bacterium
Lineage: Bacteria
Description: partial 16S ribosomal RNA
Rfam family: Bacterial small subunit ribosomal RNA
Source: RNAcentral
GAUGAACGCUGGCGGCGUGCCUAAUACAUGCGAGUCGAGCGAACAGACGAGGAGCUUGCUCCUCUGACGUUAGCGGCGGACGGGUGAGUAACACGUGGAUAACCUACCUAUAAGACUGGGAUAACUUCGGGAAACCGGAGCUAAUACCGGAUAAUAUAUUGAACCGCAUGGUUCAAUAGUGAAAGACGGGUUUGCUGUCACUUAUAGAUGGAUCCGCGCCGCAUUAGCUAGUUGGUAAGGUAACGGCUUACCAAGGCAACGAUGCGUAGCCGACCUGAGAGGGUGAUCGGCCACACUGGAACUGAAACACGGUCCAGACUCCUACGGGAGGCAGCAGUAGGGAAUCUUCCGCAAUGGGCGAAAGCCUGACGGAGCAACGCCGCGUGAGUGAUGAAGGUCUUCGGAUCGUAAAACUCUGUUAUUAGGGAAGAACAAAUGUGUAAGUAACUAUGCACGUCUUGACGGUACCUAAUCAGAAAGCCACGGCUAACUACGUG